AUGUUUCAGUGGUGUCCUGGAGCUUUAUCUUUAGAUCUUCUUUUUCCCUUUCCUGCUCUACUUCAUUGUCAUGCAAAAGGUUCAUUUAUAAAUUUGGGCAUCCAUUUGCGCAGAGAAUCCAAGUCGUGGGUGGUGAAAGACUUAUGGAUCUUUGCAUGUAAACUGCCAGCAUUGUCUGUAAGUUUUGCUACAUCCCAUAGAGGCAUUAUCUUCUGUGCCUCUGAUGAAUUUGCAGGAUUAUUGUUUUGUGCCAGUGUAGCAUUAGUAUUGUUAGUUCCAGCUAUUUCCCCUAAUGGUGUUAUAGUAUUAGUAUUAGUCUUAAAGUCCUUGCUAGUCUGUCCUGUCCCAUCCCCAGUCACCAUGUCAGAUCCCAUCCCAAUGCCCUGUUGUUUUUUGUUCAUGUAGUCCUGGCAUAUCUCUGUCAAAAUAGGUAUCUGGCCAAACAAUGUCUCUAAUUUGUUAUCAGUUAUUAUCAACUCACUGUCACACCAGGCAGUCUCUAGCCCAAAGGUCAGCUAAGAGCCUACACUACAAAAAGACAUUCUUACUUCCUCAGUUCCCCCUCUUGUAAAGCCACUGAUGUCACUCCUUCUAGGUCUUUCUGGUUGGAUAGACUUGACCUCAGUGCAGGUCAGAGGCCAGUCUUCCAGAUGCCAGGAGUCAUGGGGACAAGCAGCAAGCCUCUUCUAGGUCAUCAGUGAGUCAUGAGACUUCCCAUAGUAUGCAUGCGUGCCCAGACAAAGGAUAGGGCUGGUACCAACUAAAAUGGAUUUUCAAAAAGAAUAAGGGAUACAAUUUAUAUUAAAUUUAUACACCCCCCCUUAUUCUUUGGAAGAUUAACAUGCCAGUCUGCCCAGUGAAUCAUCCCAUACAUAAUAUCUAUUCAGUUCAGGAUUGUUUCAUAAAGGUACAUAAGUAACAAAAGAUUAUACAUUCCAAAGGUAUUAUACAUCUCCACAGUCUCACUCAGAGACUCAUGAGGUAAUAUUUGAUUUCUGGGAACAUCCUCCAUUGCUGUCCUCUUUUUAGUCCAUCAGGAAUCAUGAUGGUUCUUACAGCCUCUUCUCUAGGAUAUCUGUUUUCCUGGUCCAGGUAAUUGGUUAUAUCUUUCCUUAAAAUUACUUUAAAAGAUCUUAAUUGAUGGACCUUUAAGAUAACUUCAAUCUUCAUCCCCCCCCCCCCCCCCCCGGAGGAUGAGAUACUGCCCAGGAUCUAACACUAACAUAACCUAAUGGUAACACAAAAUAAUGUUCCAAUACAGUGAAUAUUUAUUUACAACAAUAGAUUUGGUAAAGGGUAUGUGACUAGGCUAUAAGGUUAUUGAUUUAAGAAUGCAUUAAAUAAUAUACAAAAUGUAGCUCCCAAAAACAUAAGGAGAGAAAAUAUACACAUGCCCAGAUAUAAG
RNAcentral lists this long non-coding RNA (1405 nucleotides) under Monodelphis domestica (gray short-tailed opossum). RNAcentral describes it as "lncRNA (ENSMODG00000041666.1)". Lineage: Eukaryota; Metazoa; Chordata; Mammalia; Didelphimorphia; Didelphidae. The record is from RNAcentral.